UGCCAGCAGGCCGCGGUAAUACGUAGGGACCAAGCGUUGUCCGGAUUUACUGGGCAUAAAGCGCGCGUAGGCGGCUCGAUCAGUCGGAGGUGAAAGCCCGCAGCUCAACUGCGGAACUGCCCCCGAUACUGUCGAGCUUGAGUGCAGGAGGGGUGACCGGAACUCCAGGUGUAGCGGUGAAAUGCGUAGAUAUCUGGAGGAACACCAGAGGCGAAGGCGGGUCACUGGACUGCAACUGACGCUGAGGUGCGAAAGCUAGGGGAGCGAACAGGAUUAGAUA
This 280-nucleotide ribosomal RNA is filed under the name uncultured bacterium. Its description in RNAcentral is "partial 16S ribosomal RNA". It matches the Rfam family "Bacterial small subunit ribosomal RNA", at positions 506 to 784 of the family's 1533-position model. The record is from RNAcentral.